CCUACGGAGAGCAGCAGUGGGGAAUUUUGGACAAUGGGGGGAACCCUGAUCCAGCCAUGCCGCGUGUAUGAAGAAGGCCUUAGGGUUGUAAAGUACUUUUGUUAGGGAAGAAAAGCUAGUUUUGAAUAAAGAUUAGUGCUGACGGUACCUAAAGAAUAAGCACCGGCUAACUACGUGCCAGCAGCCGCGGUAAUACGUAGGGUGCGAGCGUUAAUCGGAAUUAUUGGGCGUAAAGCGAGUGCAGACGGUUGUUUAAGCCAGAUGUGAAAUCCCCGAGCUUAACUUGGGACGUGCAUUUGGAACUGGAUAACUAGAGUGUGUCAGAGGGAGGUAGAAUUCCACAUGUAGCGGUGGAAUGCGUAGAGAUGUGGAGGAAUACCGAUGGCGAAGGCAGCCUCCUGGGAUAACACUGACGUUGAGGCUCGAAAGCGUGGGGAGCAAACAGGAUUAGAUACCCCUGUAGUC
RNAcentral lists this ribosomal RNA (465 nucleotides) under uncultured Neisseriaceae bacterium. Its description in RNAcentral is "bacterial SSU rRNA". It matches the Rfam family "Bacterial small subunit ribosomal RNA", at positions 338 to 795 of the family's 1533-position model. The record is from RNAcentral. Lineage: Bacteria; Pseudomonadati; Pseudomonadota; Betaproteobacteria; Neisseriales; Neisseriaceae.